This 45-nucleotide non-coding RNA is filed under the name Trichobilharzia regenti. The record is from RNAcentral. Lineage: Eukaryota; Metazoa; Platyhelminthes; Trematoda; Strigeidida; Schistosomatidae.
AUCCAGUUGACGAGUCCCAAAUAGGACUAAAUGUGCAUCCUGGGU